This 2939-nucleotide transfer RNA is filed under the name Sus scrofa (pig). RNAcentral describes it as "lncRNA (ENSSSCG00040012592.1)". Lineage: Eukaryota; Metazoa; Chordata; Mammalia; Artiodactyla; Suidae. The record is from RNAcentral.
GGUCCACGUGGCCUUUGUUAGACUGUGGCAGCUUGGCUUCCCCAGAGCCAAGAAGGUCCUUGGUGCAUCUGUCUCUAAACUCCUGUGUCCGCUGUUAAGGAAAAGAAGGGCUUGCGCAUGGCAGGAUUCAGGGACUGGUAGCAACGGCCGGGUCAGAAUCACAGAGUCAGAGUUCUAGAAGAUGAGUACUGUGGAGGUCUGGCUCCUGCCUUCAUUGCUAACUAGCUCCCUUCCCACAGUGGGAGGGUUACACCAGGCCCACAAAGGAGAAGAAGAGGAAAGAAGAGCAAGGGGAAGCGGCUCCUUGCAUGUGCUCAGGUUCACUCAUAGCAGCUGGUGUGUUCCCCAGCAGGGUCGGUUGAUACAACAAUAAGAAAAAUGUAUAUAUGCUAUAAUUCAAAAAGAUGCAUGCACCCCAAUGUUCACUGCAGCACUAUGUACAGUAGCCAAGACAUGGAAGCGACCUAAAUGUCCAUCAACAAAGGAAUGGGUAAAGAAGAUGUGGUGUAUAUAUAUAUAUAAAGGAAUAUUACCCAGCCAGUUGCAGUAACAUGGAUACAACUAGAGAUGAUUAUAUGAAGCCAAAUAUGGGGGCUGAACUUGACCUCAAAAACAUCCAACUCCCCAGGCUCUUGAACUGGAUCCUGGUGGGGAACACUUAUGAAGGUUCAGCUGAAGCAUUGCGUUUAAGUCAUUCAUUAGCCAGCGCCUGGCUGGGGGCUUUUGUGCCCCUUGGAUAGAAGCCUGCCGAAGGUCUGGGCCUCCCUGUCCUUGCCAAGGCCGCCCCAAGAAGGCAAUGGGUGCUUUACAGAAGAGCAGACACACAGUGCGUUUUGGACCAGCCCUCAGUUGUUUCCUCACCCUGGACUUCGGCUCAGGGCCUCGAAGAAGGCAAGGGACAUGGCCCCAAGCGUUACACCUGGCUCCUCAAGGAGCUGCGGUUCUGCGGCCCCACCUUAGGUGGGAUCUGAGGCCCUUAAAGCCAAGCUCAUCCUCUGUAAUUUAGGAGCUCACGUGUGUGUUUUGGCAGAAAAGGUGAGGUGCUCCGAUAGUCAAACACUGACCCCUCCUGCUUUUGGUGGUUUUCUCUCUAAGAAUCCCAUAGAUCACAGACACACUUGGGAUUUGGGGGCUAUUUAACUCCCCCUGGGACAGACAGACUUGACUCAACAGACUCCCUAGGAAAAGCACAGUGAGUUCUGAUGUACCUCCACUUAUAUCUUGGGUUCCCCAAAGAUUUGGCCCUCCGUGGCCCUAUUCUCAAUUAUUUAAUCUUCUCCAUAAGUGAGGGCACGAAUAAUAGCAGCGGGCACUUUAUCAAUUGCCUUCCCUCCAUCCCCCAAAAUAAUCCUCUUAUGGAAAAAUAGCAUUUUCUUAGGGAAAUGUUUCUUUGUUUUUGUUUGUUUGUUUGUUUGUUUGUUUAAGGGCCACAUCUGUAGCAUAUGGAAGUUCCCAGGCUAGGGGUGAAUUGGAACUGUAGCUGCCAGCCACAGCAAUGUGGGAUCUGAGCCGUGUCUGCGACCCAGUGACCUUGGCUGCAGCUUGGGACAAUGCUGGAUCCUUAACCCCAUGAGCGAGGCCAGGUAUUGAACCCGCAUCCUCAUGGAUACUCAUUGGGUUCUUAACCCUCUGAGCCACAACGGGAACUCAGGGAGAUGUUUCUUUUCACAAAGUACCCUCUUGGUGAAUUGCAUGCCUAUCCCAGCACUGCCAGCCAUUUUUCUCUUUGUCCAGCAGUGGAAACAUCCAAAGUUCUCCCCGUUUUGCUUCUCAGGCCAUCUUCCUCUGUUUCAGCUCCUUUCCUUUUCCUGUCCCCUCUCCUUCCUGACACCACCCCUGUCCAUCCCAUCAUUUUCUUCCUUCUCCUCUCUCUUUCCCCAGGAUAGGCAAGGUACCUGGUCUCUGAGGUCCUACAGCAUCCACCCCCUGCCCCCACCCCAUCAUAGCAUUGCUCACACUGGACUGCAAUUGUCCCCUCAACCACUGGGCCCUCUGAGACAAGGGACACGGCCAGCUGACCUUGUGCCUUCAGCAUCUAGCAUGUCAUAUCGUAAAGGCUCAUUAAAUGCAUGUAAUUUAUUUUUAGUUUAUUUUAUUUGGCCAUGCCAGGGCCAUGUGGAAGUUCCCAAGCCAGAGAUCAAACCUGUGCCACAGCAGUGACAAUGCCAGGUCCUUAACCCACUGCACCACAUGGGAACUCCUAAAUGCAUGUUAUGCACAUCUUUUUUUUUGGGGGGGGGGAACCAGGCGCACAGCAUUGCAGAAGUUCCCAGGCCAGGGAUCAAACCUGUACCACAGCAGUGAAAACAAGGGAUCCUCAACGACUAGACCACCAGGGAACUUCUAAAUGUAUGUGAUGUAAAAGAGUAUCCACUGUCUGCUUCUCCGAAAUCACUUUCCUGCAUUUCUGACAGCAGCCAGCUGGAUUUGUGGCCCUCACAUGUGCUUCAGGAAUCUAGAGUUUUGAACGUGGCUAGUAAAAAUAUAAUGCAAGCCAUGUGCAUAAUUUUAAAUUUCCUAGUAGCCGCGUUAGGGGAAAAAAAAAAGUGAAAUUGGGGAGUUCCCAUCAUGGCGCAGCAGAAACAAAUCCGACCAGGAACCAUGAGGUUGUGGGUUUGAUCCCUGGCCUCAAUCAAUGGCUUAAGGAUCUGACAUUGCUGUGAGCUGUGAUGUAGGUCGCAGACGCAGCUCAGAUCUGGCAUUGCUGUGGCUGUAGCUGUGGCUGGCAGCUGCAACUCUGAUUGGACCUCUAGCCUGGGAACCUCCGUGUGCCACGGGUGCGGCCCUAAAAAAAAAAGGAAAUUGAAUUAAACAAUGUAGUUUAUUGAGCUCGAUAUAUCCAAAAUAUUUCAACAUGUAAUCAAAUAAGGAUUAUUAUAGAGAGAUUCUUACUGUGCAGCCCUAAAAAGCAAAAACCAAAAAAAAAAAAGAAAAAAAAA